AGAGUUUGAUCAUGGCUCAGAAUCAACGCUGGCGGCGUGCCUAACACAUGCAAGUCGAGCGAGAAAGGGGCUUCGGCCCUGAGUAAAGCGGCGCACGGGUGAGUAACACGUGGGUAAUCUGCCCUAGAGUGGGGAAUAACACCGGGAAACCGGUGCUAAUACCGCAUACGAUCACGAUGUCCUCGGAUGUUGUGAUGAAAGGAGCAAUUCGCUCUUGGAGGAGCCCGCGGCUGAUUAGCUAGUUGGUAAGGUAAUGGCUUACCAAGGCAACGAUCAGUAUCCGGUCUGAGAGGACGGUCGGACACACUGGAACUGAGACACGGUCCAGACUCCUACGGGAGGCAGCAGUGGGGAAUUUUUCGCAAUGGGGGAAACCCUGACGAAGCAACGCCGCGUGGAUGAUGAAGUCUCUUGGGACGUAAAAUCCUUUCGACGGGGAAGAAACCGCAAGGUUGACGGUACCCGUAGAAGAAGCCCCGGCUAACUCCGUGCCAGCAGCCGCGGUAAUACGGGGGGGGCAAGCGUUGUUCGGAAUUACUGGGCGUAAAGGGCGCGUAGGCGGUUUGCUAAGUUGAAUGUGAAAACUCUGGGCUUAACCCAGAGCCUGCAUUCAAUACUGGCAGGCUAGAGUUCUGGAGGGGAUAGCGGAAUUCCUGGUGUAGCGGUGAAAUGCGUAGAUAUCAGGAGGAACACCGGUGGC
Molecule: ribosomal RNA, 700 nt
Filed under: uncultured bacterium
Lineage: Bacteria
Description: bacterial SSU rRNA
Rfam family: Bacterial small subunit ribosomal RNA
Source: RNAcentral